UUCUCCACCCAUCCCUUUAUGGAGUCCUUGUACCCCGUGAAAAGAGAUAACCCAGUACGGGGGGAAAAAUAAUAGAACUUUUGAACCGCCCUAACCAGACGGAAAAAAGUGACAAACAGACAGGCCGUGGGUGUAAAACCCCAACUCAGGCAGAUAGACUCAAAACAGGACAUGAACAAAAUGGAAUUUGGGGAUAACAUCCGAGGAGUUACCCCGAAGUAUUCAAAGACCUCAAUAAAGAAAGGGGUAAAAGGAAACGGUAGACCGAAUUCUCUCUGCUUCAAGAAAAACACUAUGCGACGACC
This 305-nucleotide long non-coding RNA is filed under the name Manihot esculenta (cassava). RNAcentral describes it as "long non-coding RNA (MESC_LNC011488)". Lineage: Eukaryota; Viridiplantae; Streptophyta; Magnoliopsida; Malpighiales; Euphorbiaceae. The record is from RNAcentral.